Molecule: unclassified non-coding RNA, 274 nt
Filed under: uncultured fungus
Lineage: Eukaryota; Fungi
Description: partial contains small subunit ribosomal RNA, internal transcribed spacer 1, and 5.8S ribosomal RNA
Rfam family: Eukaryotic small subunit ribosomal RNA (bases 1-73)
Source: RNAcentral
GCAAACUUGGUCAUUUAGAGGAAGUAAAAGUCGUAACAAGGUCUCCGUAGGUGAACCUGCGGAGGGAUCAUUACGAGAGAUGGCGGGCCCCCGGCCCCCGUCCCCAACCCUUUGUUGAACCAAAACCUUUUUGCCUCGGGGGUGGAGCGUCCGUCGCCGGUCGCCGCCCCCGGAGGACCACUUAACGCUGUCUCUUUGCGUCGGAGUAUUGAUUGAAUGAAUGAAAACUUUCAACAACGGAUCUCUUGGUUCUGGCAUCGAUGAAGAACGCAGC